AGUGAACGCUGGCGGUAGGCCUAACACAUGCAAGUCGAACGGCAGCACAGUAAGAGCUUGCUCUUACGGGUGGCGAGUGGCGGACGGGCGAGGAAUACAUCGGAAUCUACUUUUUCGUGGGGGAUAACGUAGGGAAACUUACGCUAAUACCGCAUACGACCUACGGGUGAAAGCAGGGGAUCUUCGGACCUUGCGCGAUUGAAUGAGCCGAUGUCGGAUUAGCUAGUUGGCGGGGUAAAGGCCCACCAAGGCGACGAUCCGUAGCUGGUCUGAGAGGAUGAUCAGCCGCACUGGAACUGAGACACGGUCCAGACUCCUACGGGAGGCAGCAGUGGGGAAUAUUGGACAAUGGGCGCAAGCCUGAUCCAGCCAUACCGCGUGGGUGAAGAAGGCCUUCGGGUUGUAAAGCCCUUUUGUUGGGAAAGAAAAGCAGCAGGUUAAUACCCCGCUGUUCUGACGGUACCCAAAGAAUAAGCACCGGCUAACUUCGUG
Molecule: ribosomal RNA, 492 nt
Filed under: uncultured bacterium
Lineage: Bacteria
Description: partial 16S ribosomal RNA
Rfam family: Bacterial small subunit ribosomal RNA
Source: RNAcentral